Molecule: small nuclear RNA, 95 nt
Filed under: Nannospalax galili (Upper Galilee mountains blind mole rat)
Lineage: Eukaryota; Metazoa; Chordata; Mammalia; Rodentia; Spalacidae
Source: RNAcentral
UUUUACAAUAUACUAAAAUUGGAGCAUUAUAGAGAAGAUUAACAUGGCCUGUGCACAGAGAGGACAUGCAAAUUCAUAGACUACUCCAUAUUUUU